UACGUAGGGUGCAAGCGUUGUCCGGAAUUAUUGGGCGUAAAGAGCGUGUAGGCGGCCAGGGAGGUCCGUUGUGAAAACUCGAGGCUCAACCUCGAGACGCCGAUGGAAACCCCCUGGCUAGAGUCCGGAAGAGGAGAGUGGAAUUCCUGGUGUAGCGGUGAAAUGCGCAGAUAUCAGGAAGAACACCCGUGGCUAAGGCGGCUCUCUAGUACGGUACUGACGCUGAGACGCGAAAGCGUGGGGAGCGAACAGG
RNAcentral lists this ribosomal RNA (253 nucleotides) under uncultured bacterium. RNAcentral describes it as "partial 16S ribosomal RNA". It matches the Rfam family "Bacterial small subunit ribosomal RNA", at positions 524 to 776 of the family's 1533-position model. The record is from RNAcentral.